Molecule: unclassified non-coding RNA, 221 nt
Filed under: Hevea brasiliensis (rubber tree)
Lineage: Eukaryota; Viridiplantae; Streptophyta; Magnoliopsida; Malpighiales; Euphorbiaceae
Source: RNAcentral
GCCUAAUUGCCCAGCAACAGGUCUCCUAUUUGGGACACGUUAUUUCGGCAGAGGGGGUUGCAGUAGAACAAAGUAAAAUUGCUGCAAUGAAAGAGUGGCCAAAACCGAGUACAGUGAAGGGAUUACAUGGAUUUUUGGGGCUCACCGGGUAUUAUCAAAAAUUUGUGCAGAACUAUGGCACCAUUGCAACUCCUUUGACAACCAUGUUACGUAAGAACUCU